This 1405-nucleotide ribosomal RNA is filed under the name uncultured bacterium. RNAcentral describes it as "16S ribosomal RNA". It matches the Rfam family "Bacterial small subunit ribosomal RNA". The record is from RNAcentral.
AGAGUUUGAUCCUGGCUCAGGAUGAACGCUAUCGACAGGCCUAACACAUGCAAGUCGAGGGGCAUCGGGGCGAGGAGCAAUCCUUGCCGCCGGCGACCGGCGCACGGGUGAGUAACGCGUAUGCGACCUGCCCGUUGCAGGGGAUAAUCGGGAGAAAUCCCGUCUAAUACCGCGUAAUGCCGCGGGGCUGCAUGGCCCUGCGGCCAAAGGGAGCGAUUCCGGCAACGGAUGGGCAUGCGUGACAUUAGCUAGUUGGCGGGGCAACGGCCCACCAAGGCGACGAUGUCUAGGGGUUCUGAGAGGAAGGUCCCCCACACUGGUACUGAGACACGGACCAGACUCCUACGGGAGGCAGCAGUGAGGAAUAUUGGUCAAUGGGCGCGAGCCUGAACCAGCCAAGUCGCGUGAGGGAUGACGGCCCUACGGGUUGUAAACCUCUUUUGUCGGGGAGCAAAUUCCGUUACGUGUAACGGAGUCGAGAGUACCCGAAGAAAAAGCAUCGGCUAACUCCGUGCCAGCAGCCGCGGUAAUACGGAGGAUGCGAGCGUUAUCCGGAUUUAUUGGGUUUAAAGGGUGCGUAGGCGGACUGUCAAGUCAGCGGUAAAAUACGGGGGCUCAACCUCCGCCCGCCGUUGAAACUGACGGUCUUGAGUGGGCGAGAAGUAUGCGGAAUGCGUGGUGUAGCGGUGAAAUGCAUAGAUAUCACGCAGAACUCCGAUUGCGAAGGCAGUAUACCGGCGCCCAACUGACGCUGAAGCACGAAAGCGUGGGUAUCGAACAGGAUUAGAUACCCUGGUAGUCCACGCAGUAAACGAUGAAUACUAGCUGUCCGGGGCGAAUGAGCCCUGGGUGGCACAGCGAAAGCGUUAAGUAUUCCACCUGGGGAGUACGCCGGCAACGGUGAAACUCAAAGGAAUUGACGGGGGCCCGCACAAGCGGAGGAACAUGUGGUUUAAUUCGAUGAUACGCGAGGAACCUUACCCGGGCUCAAACGACACAGGAACGUACCUGAAAGGGUUCGGCUCUACGGAGCCUGUGUCAAGGUGCUGCAUGGUUGUCGUCAGCUCGUGCCGUGAGGUGUCGGCUUAAGUGCCAUAACGAGCGCAACCCCCAUCGACAGUUGCUAACAGGUCAGGCUGAGGACUCUGUCGAGACUGCCGGCGCAAGCUGCGAGGAAGGCGGGGAUGACGUCAAAUCAGCACGGCCCUUACGUCCGGGGCGACACACGUGUUACAAUGGCAGGUACAGCGGGAAGCCACCUGGCGACAGGGAGCGGAACCCGAAAGCCUGUCUCAGUUCGGAUUGGAGUCUGCAACCCGACUCCAUGAAGCUGGAUUCGCUAGUAAUCGCGCAUCAGCCAUGGCGCGGUGAAUACGUUCCCGGGCCUUGUACUAACCGCCCGUCA